CAGUACCGCGGUAAUACGAAGGGGGCUAGCGUUGUUCGGAAUUACUGGGCGUAAAGCGCACGUAGGCGGAUAUUUAAGUCAGGGGUGAAAUCCCGCAGCUCAACUGCGGAACUGCCUUUGAUACUGGGUAUCUUGAGUAUGGAAGAGGUUAGUGGAAUUGCGAGUGUAGAGGUGAAAUUCGUAGAUAUUCGCAGGAACACCAGUGGCGAAGGCGGCUAACUGGUCCAUAACUGACGCUGAGGUGCGAAAGCGUGGGGAGCAAACAGGAUUAGAUACCCCUGUAGUCCCUGUCUCUUAUACA
RNAcentral lists this ribosomal RNA (301 nucleotides) under uncultured bacterium. RNAcentral describes it as "partial 16S ribosomal RNA". It matches the Rfam family "Bacterial small subunit ribosomal RNA", at positions 509 to 808 of the family's 1533-position model. The record is from RNAcentral.